AACAAAACGCUGGCGGCGUGUCUUAAGCAUGCAAGUUGAGCGGCAAGGAGGAGAGAUCCUCCCUAGAGCGGCGGACUGGUGAGUAACGCGUGGGUAAUCUAUCGUAGGCAUGGGGGAUAGUCACUAGAAAUAGUGGGUAAUACCGAAUACGUUCCAUGAGGGGAGUAUUCAUGGAAGAAAGGGUGCUACGGCACUGGCCUUAGGUGAGCUCGCGUCCCAUUAGCUAGUUGGUGAGGUAAAGGCCCACCAAGGCGAUGAUGGGUAGCCGGCCUGAGAGGGUGUACGGCCACACUGGGACUGAGAUACGGCCCAGACUCCUACGGGAGGCAGCAGCUAAGAAUAUUCCGCAAUGGACGAAAGUCUGACGGAGCGACGCCGCGUGGAUGAAGAAGGCCGAAAGGUUGUAAAGUUCUUUUAUAUGUGAGCAGUGACGCCCAUAUUAAUAGUAUGGGUGUAGAGAUAUUAGCAUAUGAAUAAGCAACGGCUAACUCCG
Molecule: ribosomal RNA, 493 nt
Filed under: uncultured bacterium
Lineage: Bacteria
Description: bacterial SSU rRNA
Rfam family: Bacterial small subunit ribosomal RNA
Source: RNAcentral